CCUACGGGCGGCAGCAGUGGGGAAUAUUGGACAAUGGGGGCAACCCUGAUCCAGCCAUGCCGCGUGUGUGAAGAAGGCCCUCGGGUUGUAAAGCACUUUCAGUGAGGAAGAACGCCUGGUGGUUAAUACCCAUCAGGAAAGACAUCACUCACAGAAGAAGCACCGGCUAACUCCGUGCCAGCAGCCGCGGUAAUACGGAGGGUGCGAGCGUUAAUCGGAAUUACUGGGCGUAAAGCGCGCGUAGGUGGCUUGAUAAGCCGGUUGUGAAAGCCCCGGGCUCAACCUGGGAACGGCAUCCGGAACUGGCAAGCUAGAGUGCAGGAGAGGAAGGUAGAAUUCCCGGUGUAGCGGUGAAAUGCGUAGAGAUCGGGAGGAAUACCAGUGGCGAAGGCGGCCUUCUGGACUGACACUGACACUGAGGUGCGAAAGCGUGGGUAGCAAACAGGAUUAGAUACCCGGGUAGUC
Molecule: ribosomal RNA, 465 nt
Filed under: Vreelandella stevensii
Lineage: Bacteria; Pseudomonadati; Pseudomonadota; Gammaproteobacteria; Oceanospirillales; Halomonadaceae
Description: partial 16S ribosomal RNA
Rfam family: Bacterial small subunit ribosomal RNA
Source: RNAcentral